Molecule: long non-coding RNA, 2754 nt
Filed under: Homo sapiens (human)
Lineage: Eukaryota; Metazoa; Chordata; Mammalia; Primates; Hominidae
Description: HSALNT0053448
Source: RNAcentral
CAGCUACAAAUUUGCCAUCUCUUUUGAAAAGAUGCUUUUGCCUUCUUUGAGGACUUACUCAUCCUGUUUAAUAGAAAGGAUUCAGAAGUGUCUUAGUGGUAAGUUGCAACUUGCCCUACUAUUCCUGCAAGAAUCCUGGAAAGCUUGGCCAGAUUUGGGGAAAAAGAAGGAAACUCUACUUGGUCACCCUAAUCUCAGAGGAUGCAGGCAGGGACUCUCAGUUCAGAAAGUGACCUCCCAAAGACCCAGAAAGGACUGAGUUGCAUUGUGAGUUUAAAACCAUUGCUAGGGCUCCUGGAGACUGGAGGGUGGGGUUCUGGCAUCUCAGAGACAGCAGCUGAGUUAUGUGUGCUCUGUUUCCCCUCCAAUGUGAAGAAAGCUUCAACACCUCCUACAGAAGAGGGGCCGUGAGACCACAGCCCAAAGGAGGCUGGACAGGGAGGGUCUCAGCCAGGGUUGCAUAAGAGAAGUGGCAUUGCACUUAAAGACCUGCACUUGGGAACACAGAGGAGCUUUCCCAGAGGCAGCUGAAUGCUUAAAAAGUGAAUCUCUCAAGCUGCCCUGCUUGUCUCUGCAGCUGUUCUUCAUCUAUUUUGUUUGGGUUUAAAGGUCAGUGAAAAUGCACGGCACAGGGUUAUUUAGCACCUUCCACAGAGGAUGCGGAUGCCUUUUUCAGUGGCCACACAGAAUUCAAUAUGUGUUACUCUCCCUCCUUUAGCAAUAUGGGGGAGCUGUGUCUGAGGACUGGCGCUGUCAGGAGGUGAACCUGGCUGGUGGGGGACUGAACUGCAUUCCUGGCAUUCAGGAGAAUACUUCUCCCUCAAGAUUUAUGGGCUUCAUUUUAUGUUUAAAUGGUUUCUGUCAAAAUUCCAAGAGGCUUUAGUGAGUAAUGGGAAGCAAGGAAAGGGAAAGCAUACUCCAGGUAGUAGAAAUAGCACCGACAAAGGCUGUUGAGAAGUGAACACGCAUUUGUGCAGCGAAUGUUUACUAAGCAUCUACCACACGUCUUUGACUGAUUGCCAGAUAAAAGGGUUUGGAGCCACAGAACUCUGACAGACUCUCUUAAGGCUAUUGCAAUCCCUGGCCUCUCUGGGAGAGUGAAGUCCUGUUGUCGUUUCUUCCAACUGGGGUUAGAGAGCAGCAUCUUAGGGGAGCCCAGUUCAUACCAACCCCUUCCCAACCAGCAGAGGAGCUUCAGAAAAUGAAGCUCAGAAGCUGAUCCAAGAUGGAGAUACAGAGACAAGGAACAGCUGUUUGCUCUUUUUUAAUUCUAAAUCUGGCAUGCCCUCGAGUCCCUGGUAGAGUCACACCCCAUCUAGACAUGAUUUGGGCCCUGCUGGUGUCUGCAAAAACUCACCCCUCUGAGACCAAGACAUACUCCCCACAGGCCAGCCACCUAGAGCCUCUUGCCAAACACCAGGAAGCCCAUCUUGUCCACAGCAGCCUCUCAGUCCAUUUUCACCAUCUACACUCCAGCCUCUCCUUUGAAAUAAAUGUAUUCAAUGCAAAGGUACAAAAUGGAUGAAACUGUUGUUUUUAAAUGCUGAUUUCAUGCCCCUCCCAAAGGCACUCUUUUGUUCUAUUUAAUUUUUACUUCAGAUUGCUGAUAAACUCUAGGGUGGAUUCAUCAAAGGAAACUGAUAAUUACCAAUUCUGUACAUUUUAUUUUGUUCAUUAUUUUGUUAGCAUCUGAUUCUGAAAAAAUAUUCUUUAUAAAUGGGCUGGAAGCUGGCAUAAAAAUUAUUAGCAAUAACAAGAUGUUUUUGCAUAGAAAUGGGUUUCUUACCGGCCAGCUGCAGUUAAGUGUGUGGGACUUGCUUUGUGGCAGCCAACAAUAUCCAGCAAGCUCCUUUCCACCUGCCUCCAGGUAAAAAAAAAAAAAAAAUUGGCUUAGAACCCAAGAGUGGGGUUGUAUUUUCCUCUGCAGAAAGGUACCCAUCUUUUUCCAGCUGGGAUCCCUGGUGGGUGGAAAAUAGAUUACCAGGGAAGUGGAGUCAGAGAGUGAGCCUAGAACAGCACUAAAAAAGGGCAUCAGGGGGUCGGUGUCCUAAGGAUUGGUUGGGGUGGAACACUGGGAGAUCCCAUAAUUGCUAAGAAUAGCAGAAAGUGUGUGCAUUGGUUGAUUCAUUCCAUAUUCAUGAACAUGCACAGUCCUCAGUAGAAUUUAAUGUAUAUAAGCAGUGGGUAUUGGUUAUUUCUGGAUGCUGCCCAACAUCUUCCCAUCUUUGGGGGAGUUCCAUGGUUUGUGAUGCAUCCCCAGGGUAGAAGCUGGAAUCGCUCCUGCCCAUCCACUCUUGCUGCUAAGAUAUAGGCAGGGGACUUAGGAUCUACUGAUCUGAUACACUCACUUGAGGCUUUGCCUGGGAAACUAGUACCAUGAAGUUGGUGCCAUAGGGAAUUCAUUCUGCCAAACAUUGCAGCAGAUUAUUCUAAGAAGCAUCCAAACCCUAGACUCAGGGGAAUUAACACAAUAUUUGUGCCCAGGGGUAUAUUCCUGGAGGCAGAUCUGUGAUGAAAUCUGGCCACUGUUCUUGGUCACUAGGCUUUCAUGUGUGUACCUCCGGCCUUCUCAGAGAUUCUGUGAAUUAUCUAAUGUUCUUAAACAAAUUCCUUUUCCACUUAAACUGCCUAGAAUGAAUUCCUGAGGUUUGCAACUGGGAACCCAGACUGUGAACAUAGCUUUAUGUAAGCUGCAAGUGACAGAAGCCCAAAGGAAAUUUGAUUUGAAAACAGAUUGUGAAGAAAAAGCUUUAG